GUGCCAGCAGCCGCGGUAAUACGUAGGUGGCAAGCGUUGUCCGGAUUUAUUGGGUUUAAAGGGUGCGUAGGCGGAUGCUUAAGUCAGGGGUGAAAGACGGCCGCUCAACGGUCGCAGUGCCUUUGAUACUGGGCAUCUUGAGUGCAGACGAGGUCUGUGGAAUGGAUGGUGUAGCGGUGAAAUGCUUAGAUACCAUCCAGAACACCAAUUGCGAAGGCAGCAGACUAGGGUGCAACUGACGCUGAGGCACGAAAGUGCGGGGAUCAAACAGGAUUAGAUACCCGGGUAGUCC
This 292-nucleotide ribosomal RNA is filed under the name uncultured bacterium. RNAcentral describes it as "partial 16S ribosomal RNA". It matches the Rfam family "Bacterial small subunit ribosomal RNA", at positions 505 to 796 of the family's 1533-position model. The record is from RNAcentral.